UACGGAGGGUGCGAGCGUUGUCCGGAAUCAUUGGGCGUAAAGGGCGCGUAGGUGGCCCGGUCAGUUCGUGGUGAAAGCGCGGGGCUCAACCCUGCGUCGGCCAUGAAUACUGCCGCGGCUGGAGCACUGUAGAGGCAGGCGGAAUUCCGGGUGUAGCGGUGGAAUGCGUAGAGAUCCGGAAGAACACCGGUGGCGAAGGCG
Molecule: ribosomal RNA, 201 nt
Filed under: uncultured bacterium
Lineage: Bacteria
Description: partial 16S ribosomal RNA
Rfam family: Bacterial small subunit ribosomal RNA
Source: RNAcentral